UACGUAGGGGGCAAGCGUUGUCCGGAUUUAUUGGGCGUAAAGAGCGUGUAGGCGGCUUUACAGGUCCGUUGUGAAAACUCGAGGCUCAACCUCGAGACGCCGGUGGAAACCGUAAGGCUAGAGUCCGGAAGAGGAGAGUGGAAUUCCUGGUGUAGCGGUGAAAUGCGCAGAUAUCAGGAAGAACACCCGUGGCGAAGGCGGCUCUCUGGGACGGUACUGACGCUGAGACACGAAAGCGUGGGUAGCAAACAGG
This 253-nucleotide ribosomal RNA is filed under the name uncultured bacterium. RNAcentral describes it as "partial 16S ribosomal RNA". It matches the Rfam family "Bacterial small subunit ribosomal RNA", at positions 524 to 776 of the family's 1533-position model. The record is from RNAcentral.